CACCAUCUUGCCAGGCUAUUUUUUGUAUUAUUUGUAGAGAUGGGGUUUUGCCAUGUUGGCCAGGCUGGUCUUGAAUUCCUGGCCUCGUGUGAUCUGACCUCCUCUGCUUCCAAAAGCGCUGGAACUAUAAGCAUGAGCCACUGCGCUGCCCUUUUAUUUUUGUUAGGAAAGCUAGCAACGUGACACUGGUUUUUGUUACUUGUUUGAGCUACCCACCACACACCAACUCUUAAUUUCCCUCCUUCCCCCAGUUCCUUUGUGUCUGUGAAUUUCUCAGAUCCUGCUGCUACUUUCAUGUAAAUUAAUGUCUUUUUUAAGGAUGUUGAAAUCAUUAUUUAGAAGUAAAUAUUGAACAAACUGUGCUCCUGAUAGAGUGAUAUUUCUUGACCCUUGAAUAUAAUUAAAAGCAGAUCUUCACCGUCACUAUUUACCCAUUUUCACUUGAGUAAAGAAAGUGUAGGUGAUUUGUUUGGUUUGGCUGUCUCUGUUACCGAUCACAGGCUCUUUCGCUUCCCAUGUAAUGGAAAUUAACACGGAGCCAAGCAGAUUUCCCAGACAAGGUUUUUAAAUCGGGGCUUGUGGUCAAGCUCAAGGGAGACAGUGGAGGUGAGGCACGGGAUCCUCUGACUGACUCUGCAGGGGGCAGCAGAGGGGAAGCUGGUAGGGAUUGUUUUUUUUAGGCAAAGCACAGGAAAUAUCAUCUGGGCCAAAGUAUACAGGCUGGGCCAGACAAAGCACAAAAGAGGGCUAGGGUAUGCAGGUCAGCAUAUCUAGUUGUAAUAGUUAUCUUGAGUGAUGGGCUACUUGGUCUGGCCAGCAGCAACAAGGCUAUAAAUCAACUGUUCGUCAUUUGCUAUACAGGGUAAGACACUCCACAAUUCUGGUUUCAUGUUAAAUCUCCUAAGGCCAGUUUCUAGAAUUCUCUAAGUAAAAGAUGUGUUUACACAUUAUGAGAGCACAAUGGCUGUUUUCUUUGGGUGAAUAAAUCCUCAGGGUUAGCAAUGAGGUAUAGGUGUGGAUUUUGUGAAGAAAAGAAGAAAAAAAUAUGUGAAGGAGAAGCUGCAUGCCACUCCUCUUCUGCAUCAUCUCUAAGUAACUCCCAAUGUCAUACUGCAUUCUUGCUCCGCUACGCUUAUGAGUAGACUGUAUUUGAACACAUUCUUCUGGGGAAGGUGUACUAAAGCAGGUGUUUGAGAAAUUCCAUGCAAUAUUGGAACAUUGUAGAGAAAAUGCUGGUCCAUGCUGUCAUUCCUGGCAAGCUUAGUGUAAUAUCCUUUUCAGAAUCCAGGAAAAAGAAAAAUCUAUGCAAUAAUGACAGGAAUUGAGAGAGA
Long non-coding RNA from Sapajus apella (tufted capuchin), 1331 nucleotides. RefSeq lists it as uncharacterized. Lineage: Eukaryota; Metazoa; Chordata; Mammalia; Primates; Cebidae. The record is from RefSeq and is a predicted model, not a curated record. The transcript is spliced from 2 exons.